CGAACGCUGGCGGCAGGCCUAACACAUGCAAGUCGAGGGAGAAGGUCACUUCGGUGACUGGAGACCGGCAGACGGUGAGUAACACGUGGGAACAUACCGAGUAGUGGGGGAUAACAGUUGGAAACGACUGCUAAUACCGCAUACGCCCUUCGGGGAAAGAUUUAUCGCUAUUCGAUUGGCCCGCGUUAGAUUAGCUAGUUGGUAAGGUAACGGCUUACCAAGGCGACGAUCUAUAGCUGGUUUGAGAGGAUGAUCAGCCACACUGGGACUGAGACACGGCCCAGACUCCUACGGGAGGCAGCAGUGGGGAAUAUUGCGCAAUGGAGGAAACUCUGACGCAGCCAUGCCGCGUGAGUGAAGAAGGCCUUAGGGUUGUAAAGCUCUUUCAGAUGCGAUGAUGAUGACAGUAGCAUCAAAAGAAGUUCCGGCUAACUUCGUG
RNAcentral lists this ribosomal RNA (439 nucleotides) under uncultured bacterium. RNAcentral's name for it is "bacterial SSU rRNA". It matches the Rfam family "Bacterial small subunit ribosomal RNA", at positions 30 to 507 of the family's 1533-position model. The record is from RNAcentral.